Molecule: long non-coding RNA, 649 nt
Filed under: Homo sapiens (human)
Lineage: Eukaryota; Metazoa; Chordata; Mammalia; Primates; Hominidae
Description: lncRNA TGF-beta/SMAD3 pathway interacting
Source: RNAcentral
GGACUAUGUUUGAGGGGUGUUGUAUGACCCCGUUUUCCAUACCCAGCCAACUUGUCAUGUGACAAGUCCACAGAAAGAUGUUAUAUGACAGGAAUCUAUGAACUAGUCUUCCCUGAAAUGUACCUGACUACAGCUAACAUCAUAUCACAUGAUGAAAGACCGCGUUGUUUUCCCCUGAGGUUGGCAUGGGGACCUAUUGCUCACAGGAAGAAAAAAACAGCGUCCUUAUUUUGUGACUUCUGGCAACUGUCUUUUUCCGAGGAAGCCCCUUCCCUUCUGCCCUGCCUCUGAGUUCAAGCCGGGAUGCAGCUCCUAGUGUUUUCAAGCGUCUUACAGAUGGAGAUCAGCCCCGUCUUCCUCCAACGUCCCCACCCCGCAUCGGAGUCAGGACUCCACGGUGCUGUGGUCAGCACGGCUGCAUGGUCCUGCGACCCUGAGCCCCAGUGGGCUCUGACUGUGGUUACCAGCGCCUUAGGAGACAGAGUAACAGUCUGGAAGCAGAAACAGAGACUGUCCAUUUCAUAAACAGCCACAUCCGCAAGGUUUAUUCCUGGAUCACAAACCAACCCCACUGACCAAACUCCCAAGUCACUUUAUAUUAAACUUGUUAUCAAAUCACCCACAUAAAUAUAUAUAAUAAAUACAAAAA